RNAcentral lists this ribosomal RNA (233 nucleotides) under uncultured bacterium. RNAcentral describes it as "partial 16S ribosomal RNA". It matches the Rfam family "Bacterial small subunit ribosomal RNA", at positions 29 to 286 of the family's 1533-position model. The record is from RNAcentral.
AACGAACGCUGGCGGCAGGCCUAACACAUGCAAGUCGAACGCCCUAGCAAUAGGGAGUGGCAGACGGGUGAGUAACACGUGGGAACCUUCCCUAUAGUACGGAAUAUACCAGGGAAACUUGGAGCAAUACCGUAUACGCCCGAGAGGGGAAGGAUUUAUUCGCUAUAGGAUGGGCCCGGCCGUAGGAUUAGCUAGUUGGUGAGGUAAUGGCUCACCAAGGCGACGAUCCUUAG